ACGCACGCUGGCGGCAUGCCUCACACAUGCCAGUCGCACGAGACCUUCGGGUCUAGUGGCGCACGGGUGCGUAACGCGUGGGAACCUGCCUUUAGGUUCGUAAUAACUCAGAGAAAUUUGAGCUAAUACCGGAUGAUGUCUUCGGACCAAAGAUUUAUCGCCUUUAGAUGGGCCCGCGUUGGAUUAGCUAGUUGGUGGGGUAAAGGCCUACCAAGGCGACGAUCCAUAGCUGGUCUGAGAGGAUGAUCAGCCACACUGGGACUAAGAAACGGCCCAGACUCCUACGGGAGGCAGCAGUUGGGAAUAUUGGACAAAGGGCGAAAGCAUGAACCAGAAAUGCCGAGUGAGUGAUGAAGGCCUUAGGGUUGUAAAGAUCUUUUACCCGAGAUGAUAAUGACAGUAUCGGGAGAAUAAGCGCCGGCUAACUCCGUG
RNAcentral lists this ribosomal RNA (432 nucleotides) under uncultured bacterium. RNAcentral's name for it is "partial 16S ribosomal RNA". It matches the Rfam family "Bacterial small subunit ribosomal RNA", at positions 29 to 507 of the family's 1533-position model. The record is from RNAcentral.